Molecule: small nucleolar RNA, 90 nt
Organism: Apodemus sylvaticus (European woodmouse)
Lineage: Eukaryota; Metazoa; Chordata; Mammalia; Rodentia; Muridae
Source: RefSeq, a predicted model, not a curated record
ACUCUCUCCUGAUAUCCAGCACUGGGCCCUGGUCAUCCUUGAGGACACAUGUGUACUAGAGCCUUUGACACCUGAGAGUCUGAGGGGUGC